UUUUGAAAUUCUUUUAAUUGACCCUUGUUCACUUUUGCAGAGAAUAUGGUCUUGCAGAAAGAGAGCAAAAGGAAAGAGACCCUCAAAACAGUCCUAGAGGAAUCUCCUAUACUUACAUCUAGUGUGUCCACUGCAUCCUCUGUGUCCAUCACAGUAUCCCCUCAAUGUAAGGAGAGACAGAGGACUCCUACAGUUUCUUCAGUCAGGAUCCCUAGUCCACAGGACAGUGUGUCUCUAACUGCUGAAGAGAUAUCUCCCUCUAGUGAACCAAGACCAGUACCACCACCAUGUAAGGAGAGAGUAAAGACAUGUCGGGUAAAAUCAGUCAGGGUUCACUGUCGAAAGGAGACAAAACCAUCUCUACCAUCUGCAUGGCCAGUGCUCCCACCUAUCACACAGAAAGCUCCUUUACAAGUUUCAAAACAGGUGCAGGGACAAAAGUCAACCAAGAGGCGUGGCAGCAGCGUAUAUAACUGCCAUCUGAAUGAUUGCCCUUACCAUAAUAACCCCAAGGAAGGGUCUGCAGGUGACAGGGAAUUGGGGCCUGUCAGGGUCAGCACAAGGGCUACAGUAAAAACGGAUCUGGGGAUGCAAAAGUCAUUGGCAGGACCUACAAUAUUUGAGGUAUGGGUUCCAUAUAGACCCAAGGGAGGACCAACCGUAGAUCCAGAACUAGUGCCAAAGAGAACCAGGGCAAGGCCUGUGACAAACAGGACAACUGGUGCAGCAAGCAACUUGCUUUGUGGUAGACAGGGCACCGCCUGCAGUAGACAAGGAGCUGUGUCAGGGGGCACAAACAGCACCAAUUUGUCACAAUUGUUUCUUGAGUGUUCCACACACACUUGCCCUCAUUUAGCACAUUCUGUCCAUACCAUUAGAUACAAGCGUAUGCAUGUACAGGGCCGUGAACUUCAACCUCACUCUGCUAGGCUGCGUAACAUCGCCUUGCAACCUUAUAUGUCCCAGCAUCAGCAGGCAGCGAAGAACAGCACCCUUAGAGAUCCAAAAAGAAAAUCUUCAGCUUUGGGCAAAUCAACCUAAUGCACAAUUGUCCUACUGGAAC
Molecule: long non-coding RNA, 1063 nt
Filed under: Dicentrarchus labrax (European seabass)
Lineage: Eukaryota; Metazoa; Chordata; Actinopteri; Moronidae
Description: lncRNA (ENSDLAG00005027439.1)
Source: RNAcentral